GCCCCUCCCCACAGCCAAUGACCUUCUGGCUCCAGCCCCCUCCUUUCCCCUGUGAAAGCCACAUCACCCAGGGCUCCCUGCCGGCCAUGGGAAUGUGAGGCAAGAAGAAUCCAUCCCAUUCUGUUGCUGAUUCAAUAUCGCUGUAUAAUCGCCUCAAAUUUCCCCUCUUUUCUCUUAAAUGGUUGAAUGGUGAUAUAAAAUCUCCCCAGAUGUUGGUGCUUCUCUCUUAUGUUGGCAAAUAUUUAGUUUGUGCCCCAUUUUCUCCUCAGUUCUGAAAUACUGAUAUCAAAUUCUCGAAAAUCUUCCCGCUUUUUUCUCCAGGUGUAUGACCGAGAUCAGGGUUCUUAUCGUACUGAGCAUGGCCCUGGUCUGCCAGGCGCUGCAGAGACCCCAGGCUACAGACUAACGUCCACGUUUGCUCCAGAUCAUCCCGUCCUCCCAGGGGGCAGGAAAUGGCUGCAAUGGAGCUGGCUCAGGGGCCGGUGACCUUCGAGGAG
Long non-coding RNA from Mauremys reevesii (Reeves's turtle), 497 nucleotides. RefSeq lists it as uncharacterized. The record is from RefSeq and is a predicted model, not a curated record. Lineage: Eukaryota; Metazoa; Chordata; Testudines; Geoemydidae. The transcript has 3 exons.